GUAUAGUUUUCUUUCGUUACGUUUUCAAGGCAACGAAAUGGGUUUACAUUCUAUUAGACAUUCGGAUUAUAUGAUAAUACAUAAGCCCGAGGGCCUACGGUGGGUUCACAGGUGUGUUGUGGAUUUGGGCGUGCACGCGCCCCGAGAGGCCAGCAGACAACCCUUUAUUUUCGAUAAUGAUCCUUCCGCAGGUUCACCUACGGAAA
Molecule: unclassified non-coding RNA, 206 nt
Filed under: uncultured fungus
Lineage: Eukaryota; Fungi
Description: sequence contains ITS1
Source: RNAcentral